RNAcentral lists this ribosomal RNA (301 nucleotides) under uncultured bacterium. Its description in RNAcentral is "partial 16S ribosomal RNA". It matches the Rfam family "Bacterial small subunit ribosomal RNA", at positions 509 to 807 of the family's 1533-position model. The record is from RNAcentral.
CAGUAGCCGCGGUAAUACAGAGGGUGCGAGCGUUAAUCGGAUUUACUGGGCGUAAAGCGUGCGUAGGCGGCUUUUUAAGUCGGAUGUGAAAUCCCUGAGCUUAACUUAGGAAUUGCAUUCGAUACUGUGAAGCUAGAGUAUGGGAGAGGAUGGUAGAAUUCCAGGUGUAGCGGUGAAAUGCGUAGAGAUCUGGAGGAAUACCGAUGGCGAAGGCAGCCAUCUGGCCUAAUACUGACGCUGAGGUACGAAAGCAUGGGGAGCAAACAGGAUUAGAUACCCCUGUAGUCCCUGUCUCUUAUAC